RNAcentral lists this long non-coding RNA (543 nucleotides) under Ursus thibetanus thibetanus. RNAcentral's name for it is "lncRNA (ENSUTTG00000001089.1)". The record is from RNAcentral. Lineage: Eukaryota; Metazoa; Chordata; Mammalia; Carnivora; Ursidae.
GUUCUGGACUUAUGGGUGUCCUGGCAGUCAUUAUAUUCUCUUCUUCUGUUUAUUCUUGCCUGAAGCUAUCAACACAAGUGGAAUUUUUACCACGAAAUACAGAAUCACACACAAGAGAGGUGUUUCCUGAGCAACUGAAAUGAUCCAGGGACGGCACACAGUGACUGCAAAUGAUUGGAGAUGAACGGAUGUGCCCUUUCCCGCGCCCGCAGGCAAGCUGGGCGGGGUGCCCCUCACUCCCACAGCAGCCCCUCAGUGCUGGGCACAGGCCCGCUCAUUAGGGGACGGCCAACCCUGAAGCGACCGCAGGCGGUGGGAAAAGAGACCGCACAGCUCGGGGCAGCUGGAGCCCAGGGCUGCGUGUCAGCGGCAGAAGCGUCCUGGAGCAGAUCCUCUGGGAAGAGGCCCUGGAGCCUGGGGGCGACCAACAGGUUUCCCAUGCUAACUGAUUUCAGAGGAGGAACGGAUUUCCUGUCCAAAGCCUCCAAGCCACCCUCUUCCCAGACUUGGAAAAUAGUGGGCCAGAUCAGUCUCCCAAGAUGA